RNAcentral lists this ribosomal RNA (269 nucleotides) under uncultured bacterium. RNAcentral describes it as "partial 16S ribosomal RNA". It matches the Rfam family "Bacterial small subunit ribosomal RNA", at positions 790 to 1058 of the family's 1533-position model. The record is from RNAcentral.
GUAGUCCACGCCGUAAACGAUGUCGAUUUGGAGGUUGUGCCCUUGAGGCGUGGCUUCCGGAGCUAACGCGUUAAAUCGACCGCCUGGGGAGUACGGCCGCAAGGUUAAAACUCAAAUGAAUUGACGGGGGCCCGCACAAGCGGUGGAGCAUGUGGUUUAAUUCGAUGCAACGCGAAGAACCUUACCUGGUCUUGACAUCCACAGAACUUUCCAGAGAUGGAUUGGUGCCUUCGGGAACUGUGAGACAGGUGCUGCAUGGCCGCCGUCAG